This is a long non-coding RNA of Fukomys damarensis (Damara mole-rat), 1134 nucleotides long. RefSeq lists it as uncharacterized. The record is from RefSeq and is a predicted model, not a curated record. The transcript is spliced from 4 exons. Lineage: Eukaryota; Metazoa; Chordata; Mammalia; Rodentia; Bathyergidae.
GGUUCAUGUGGGGAACACUUGGUCCCUGGUGUGGCUGUAUCGAGAGGUGGAGGACCCUUCAAGAGGUGGGACCUAGUAGAGAGAAGCAGCAGCAUGCUGUCCAUGGCAGAACCAAGCGAUAAAACAAGGAAAACCUUUAACAGCAGCGGCGAGUGUGCUGGGAAAUGACAAGCCCCUUCUAGGUCUGUGUUCAUGAGGGAAACACGCUGUCCUGCACCUUCUUCCAUAAGUGCAUGGAGCGGGGGAAACGCAGCCCACAGCGAAGGACGUCAGUGCUGAGCAAGGACAGAGUCCACGAGAACCUUCUGGGAAAAGCUGCUGGUAACUGAGAUCCAUGAUGCCAGCUGGUCCCUAAAUAAUCUCCACUCAGCAAAGCAGCCAGACUCUGGGGACAGUGACGGCAAGCAACCUACAGCCUUAGUAUAAGAAAACAGAAAAGGUGUCUGCAAAAUAGACAUUAAACCACAAGAGCAAGACGAGCUGACAGGGCAGUGAACAUGUCCCCUGCUCAGCUCACAAACUCAGAAGUAGCUACCAAGAGAUUCUGCAGGGCAUAACCUGCUCCAUGGACAGCCAGCAGGCAACAGAGAAAACAUGUGAUCCAUACCUUCCACAACUACAGAGGAUGCACUCUGUCUACCAGAGAUGUUUCUAGGAGAUACAGGUUUAAGAUGCCAACGACAUGCAUCUUCACCAUGAAUCGCCUCAUCAAACAUAACAGUAAAAAGAGGGGAGGACACCUAACUUGGGGCUCAGAGCAUGACGCUCAAACAGUGUGCACUUUGGUGUGCUGAGUACUUGGAGUGAGGCCAUGGGAGCAGGACCUCGGGACCUUCUCUUGCCCUUCUGUCUCCACCCUCCUUCUGCCAAAGCUGGAGUCACAGAAGCAGAGUUCUCAAGACAAGUCCUAGAAACUCGAACCCUUCACCCUUCAUGCAAGCCAUAAAAACUGUAAAGGCCACUCCCUUCUCCUUUGAAGACCCUUAAUCCAGAAGGACACUGCCACCUACAGGGGCAGGGAAGGAGGGUGCUCAAGAAGAAUUCAGACAGACAACCCUCCUGGGUCACCCACACUCUCAUACCCAAGGUCAAAUCCCUUUUAUCCAAACACAUUUCUGAAGGGCUGCCCACUCU